UAACCCUAAACAGCCAACCAAUUCCUCGACCUGUAGGCAUCUCUACUCAAGGCGGCGCUACUUACAAGAGAGAAGACACCUAAGAUGCGCCAACGAGCCGAAGAGCUCAAACACAGUGAAGCCCGAUGGAUUCCAAAGCUAGAGGGGUACCAUCAACCAAAAGGCCAGAAAAAAAAACGGGCUAAGCAGAAAAAACUAUUCCACACAGUAGGCCAUUGAAAAGGGGCAACAGAGGUUGGUCGACCUAUCUCCAGGCGAGAACUUGAAUCGUAGAUCCAAAACAUAUGAGCUCCAUUGUGCCAUCAAGCUGCAUGCAAGGACUAUGGCCAUCCGAAAAGCAGGGAAGGAUGCAGAGCAUCCGGUCGUCUCACUCUCUCGUAGGCUUUGAGGGAUCGGGAGAUCCAGAUUUAUCUUCGUUAAUGCAUCUCCACCAAACAACAACCGCAAACAAAGAAAGAGCCAUACCAUACAUGCAAAGAGCCUAACCCAUCACGAGAACACUCCCAGAACUUCAAGAAACUGAGGAUGAAACAUGCAGGACCCAAAAUGAAACACUUCUCCAUGAGAAACCGCCUGCAGCAACGAAACUCAAAACAAAACUCAUAUAUACAGCCAACCUAGAAAUGGAAAUAGGAAAAUGUUGCACUGUCCUUGAGUUGUGCGUUGCACUGUGCAAACUGUCUUUACGAAUAUAAAGGACUCUUUCGGGAUUAAAUAGAUUCUUUUGGAGAAAUUCAGAAUCAGAAAAGGAAGGUAGAGAAAAC
RNAcentral lists this long non-coding RNA (764 nucleotides) under Manihot esculenta (cassava). Its description in RNAcentral is "long non-coding RNA (MESC_LNC008965)". The record is from RNAcentral. Lineage: Eukaryota; Viridiplantae; Streptophyta; Magnoliopsida; Malpighiales; Euphorbiaceae.